AAAUACUUCAUAUUUAUAUUAUAAAUUCUGCUCAUCAAACAAUUACAUGGUUACAAUGUAUGCAAUUCACUGAUUACACGUGAAGAAUUGUAUCAUAAUUUAGCAUCUGUAGUUUCAAGACGUCCAAGCUGUACAGAAUGGAGCAAGCACAAAGGCUUGCAAGGUCUUCUACGGGAGCUCAGAGCAUAUGGUUACGGCAAGGUAUCUUAACCAGACUUCAGGGACAUUUCCAACCUGGACAGUAAGAGAAGAAUUGAAAAGUACAUGUAUUAUAAAACAUUAUCUGCAUUACAUUGUAAAACACUCAAAGAAUCUAUUGAGUGCACCAUUCCCACUUUUAUAAGAUGUCUACAUCAUCAAGAGAUUUCUAAUCAAAUUUCCUUUCAAGGCAUCGAGCGAAUAUUCAAUUUAAUAGGAAACUAAAAACGUCAGCAGUUUCAGACCUUGACACACAAAUUAAGCACAUCUAGAUGACCACAAUUACAUCGUGCGAUUACCUCUGAUAUCAAUUUUAGUUUCCUGUAUGUGAAGAUUCCAUAGAACGCCAUCCAAAAACUGCGCAUAUAUAGGACAAAGUAGGAAGUGAUUACAGGAAGUGACAUCCACUACUCAUAUGAAUUUUUUACAUCAUCCGAUCAUCGGAUCUUGUGUUUUGGUAUAAACACACAAAGACUAUAGUGCAAGAUACUCCCUCCGUCCUAAAUUAGUUGUCUUAGAUUUAUCUAGAUACGGAUGUGUCUAACACUAAAACGUGUUUAGAUACAACUUGAGACAACUAAUUUUGGAUGGAGGUUGUAUGAAAUAGUUUCAUCCCAUGGAAAAACAGCAAAAUGCAAACAUUUUUCCAGCAUGAACAUGACAAGUAUAGAAACUAAAAUGUUACUGUUACAUUGAAGUAGUUUACAACAUUCUUACUAGUCUUUGGGCUCCCAGUGACAUGUGUCAAUGUUGUUAUCCAUUGGACUAGCACUUUCUAAAAAAAAUAGAACAAGUUAGAUGUCACAAAGAUGGUGUUGUUUCCAGUCUUAUAUAGACAAUCAGUUGGCAAACAUAUAUGCAGAACACUUAUUUAAUCAAAAAUUGAGUGGUAGGAGACACAUGCAACAAAAAAGAUGAGUAGCUGACAGAACACCUAUUUCUACUAGCAUGAUUUUAGACUUCUAGAGUGCAUCUAUAGCAAGAUUCCUGUCGUGUACUGGUUCAAGAAUGUGAUGCCAUUUUGCUUGCAUCAAAGGAAAGAAGAAUAUUGGAUCAAGGAAAAGGAAAUACUGGACUAUGCGUAGGAAUAUAAGAAGGCAACAUCUAUGCUCUUCAUAUAUGGUUCUACGGCAGGCAGACCAAGAUAAUGUUUCAAGUACUGGCCCAAUAACAAAAGACUAAGCUUCAGAAUACACAGGACAUGCAAAAGCUUAGUUACAGGACAUGCAUACACUGGACAUGUAAAAGCUUCCACUAAUUGUAUGCAUAAAAAGGCUAAGGACAUUCAGGACAUGCAUACACAGGCCAAGCAAAAGCUCAGUUUGCAUGUUUGCUGCAGUUUCAUUUGCAUGAAGCAUAUAAGAAACCAAAUGCUAAAUGAGGUUUCAAUAUUCUGAAAUAGCAGCAAGAAUGUAUCCAAAAGCAAAUACUAAAUCCAAGAAUUAACUAACAAGAUUAUUACCUGCUCAGCUUGCUUGUGGUCGGGUUGCUGCUUUUUCAACUUAGAUUCUACUUCUAGCUGCAUACAUAGAAGCAAGGACUUUUAAGAAAUCAGCCAUAAUAAUCAUUGUUCAAUGGAAGAUUUCUUCAACACAAAUAAACUUGGGCUAUGGGAUGGCAAAGAUACUACUAGUGCAGUCUAGGGAAUAUGUUUGAUAGCUAGUCAUUAUAUUCACAGCUGCAGUGUCAUAAACUCAAAACUUGCUGAACUCAUUUUAGUUACUGCUCGAAGAAAAAGGGACAGAAAUAUCACCUGUCAAAUGUUUCAGCAUGUAAUGGUUUCAGUUUUUUUCACAAUGCGAAUUAAACACUUCUAAAGAAAAUGCUCGAGACUAGACAAAUCAACUCCCGUGUGGUACGAGAAUAUAUGGACUUUAAUCCAAAACUAGAACCUGCAGAUCUAAACAAGCAGAGUCUAGAUCUAGAGUGUGUGUACAAACAGACCCGCAAAAGUAUGGUAUGUCAAAACUCCUAUAAACAUAUUGGGCAUUUUAGUUCUAGGAAAAUUAUAAACUAGAGUAUUGUUUCAUCAAACAACGUCGGUAAUCAACCAAUAGCAAAAUUAAGGCAUGGGAAAUAUGUCAUGUGAAACUGAAGUUGAAAUAGCAAAACUUGAGAUUGGCAUGGGAAGUCAGUACUGGAGAUUGGAAUGAUGGAAAGUAUUGACAUAUGUUUCUUCAAAGGGCCAUACCUUGAUACCAUUUAAUUGUACCUCGUGAUCUGCAAAAGGGACCAACACAAGCACAAAAGUAAAGUUAUCAACCUGAGCAGAUGAACCUGCAUAUGGAUACACUUUGGAAUAAAUAAAAGAAUAAAAGAAGCUACAUGUGGAAAUAACACAUAACGGAGAAUUGCAAACUGUACAGUGAUUUAUCUCGCUUCAGAAAUAAUCCUACUAUAUAUCAAAAGUAAUCAUUGACAAUUUUCAAAAUCCAAAAGGCACAACUUAGAGAGAUGAAGAAAUAAAAUGUAUGAGUUGCUAAACUUUAGCACCUACAUUCCAAUAAGCAAGUACAGCCGAUGAGAAAAUCACAAGUACAUGUAAACUGGUAUAGUAUUGAUAAAACAAACAACACCAGAUCCUUCUAGCACAUGGGUCAAACAAUUGAUAUGCGUCCAAACUCUGGAUCAUACAUCAGCACAAAAGCUCACGAAAGACAAAAGCAAUCUGGAUUAUAUAUCUACUAAAAGAGAGGAGAAAUCCAUAUCGUAC
RNAcentral lists this long non-coding RNA (2911 nucleotides) under Triticum aestivum (bread wheat). RNAcentral's name for it is "long non-coding RNA (TAES_LNC009660)". Lineage: Eukaryota; Viridiplantae; Streptophyta; Magnoliopsida; Poales; Poaceae. The record is from RNAcentral.